GGGCAGCACAUCCUAACAGCGCCAUCUCCCUGUACAGAGUGUAGAGUGUGGUGUCUGUCACUCCCCUUGAAGCUUUUUUUUUUUUUUUUUUUUUUUUUUGACGGUAGCAAGCAGCUAGAAAGUGGGAUCUAGGGCCCUAGGAGGCACACUUGUGGGACACCUCGCAGCAGCAAGUUCCACUCCACCUCAGAUGGCAGCUUGCCUGGUAGUGUACUUAGUGUUCUAGUCUGGUGUGUGUGGAUGUUUCCUGCCCUGUUGGACCAAAGUUACCAUGGUCAUGUGGGACAGCCUUCAGCCUCUGGGGACCCAGAACUUUCCAGCCAGGGCUUGGUUCUCCAUUUCCACUGCUGACAUUUGAUUUCCAGUGUAUUUCAAUUACUCAGUGGUAAGGUUCAUUGUCUUUUCCUGUGUAAGUGUUAAACGACAGCAUCAUUGGCGAAGGCCCUCCACAGUGCAGAGCAGCUUCGUUUCCAGCCUCUGCUGGUGGCACGUCAGAGUUUCUGUGCGCUAACGGUCCUCGGAGCUAGUGUAAGACAGGCUAAUGAAGAACACUUUCUCUGUAGUUUCUUUCUUUCAUUUAUAAUUUACAAAAGUAAAGCAUUUAUUAGUGUCUGAUUUAAGAAUGUAAAGUGAUUCUGUAUCAAUGUAAAUAAGAUGAUCUACUACAAAAGAUAUUUAAAAUCAAAA
Molecule: long non-coding RNA, 687 nt
Filed under: Rattus norvegicus (Norway rat)
Lineage: Eukaryota; Metazoa; Chordata; Mammalia; Rodentia; Muridae
Description: long non-coding RNA NONRATT005215
Source: RNAcentral